This 57-nucleotide transfer RNA is filed under the name Loxodonta africana (African savanna elephant). It matches the Rfam family "tRNA", at positions 8 to 63 of the family's 71-position model. Rfam says of the family: Transfer RNA (tRNA) molecules are approximately 80 nucleotides in length. Their secondary structure includes four short double-helical elements and three loops (D, anti-codon, and T loops). Further hydrogen bonds mediate the characteristic L-shaped molecular structure. tRNAs have two regions of fundamental functional importance: the anti-codon, which is responsible for specific mRNA codon recognition, and the 3' end, to which the tRNAs corresponding amino acid is attached (by aminoacyl-tRNA synthetases). tRNAs cope with the degeneracy of the genetic code in two manners: having more than one tRNA (with a specific anti-codon) for a particular amino acid; and 'wobble' base-pairing, i.e. permitting non-standard base-pairing at the 3rd anti-codon position. Lineage: Eukaryota; Metazoa; Chordata; Mammalia; Proboscidea; Elephantidae. The record is from Rfam by way of RNAcentral.
UGGCUUAGUGGUUAAGAGUUUGGCUGCUAACCAAAAGGUGGGUAGUUCAAAUCUAGC